GCACUCUCUCCAGUAAAUCACAUCCUUCUAACCGUGUGGCAGCUAAAACUGCACACCACGUUCCAGGUGCGGACUGUAUUGUGAAGUUGCAGUGUAACAUCUCAACUCUUCUAUCUACUGUGUGUCCUGAUCUCUGAAGGGUCCUUCAAACAAUCUGUUGCAUUGGAGUGAUCGAUAUACUUGGCCGGAUGGAACUCCUGAAUAUUAAAAAAGGCAACAGCAAACUAUGAAGCACAGUAGACUGAUUUUUGUACUUCCCAAGUACUAAAAUUUAACAUUCAUCAUUAUAACUAAAGGAGGAUGAUGCCAUGACGUGGCAACUAUUUGUGUGCAGCCAUUAAGCUCAUUGAAACUGUUCUAACAAUUAUUGAGAUCAAAAUUGAUCUGUUUCUUACCUCUUAAGUCCAUGAUUUAUCAAUCUCAGCUUUGAAAUUUUCAAUGUCCCCAAUUCAUCAGCAGCUCAACAACAAUUGUGAAUAUAACUUCAUCGAUCUACUCCCUGAACAAAUAAGAGCCAAGAAACGUGAAUAAUUUUAAAAAAGUAACGAAGGUGUGAUUCCAAGGCUGGGUCUCUAGAUGACCCUGGGUUGAGCUAGAAGAAACGUCUAGCCGUGGGGGAUAGCCCCUCCUACCUGUGAGUUGAGGGACCCCGCUGCAGUACCUAUAAAAGUGGGUCUGGAAUUUUGAAGAAAUUAUCUGAAGAGCAUUACUGACAAUAUCCAAAAGAAUUUGUUACCAGCAACUGGUCCUCCCAUGUGGUGUGGAACACAUCUGCUGGGUCAUAGUGUGAAGACUUUUCUUCUUCAGUUGCCAGUAGUGGGAGACGUGAC
This is a long non-coding RNA of Mobula hypostoma (lesser devil ray), 830 nucleotides long. RefSeq lists it as uncharacterized. The transcript is spliced from 5 exons. NCBI's taxonomy places the organism in Eukaryota, Metazoa, Chordata, Chondrichthyes, Myliobatiformes, Myliobatidae. The record is from RefSeq and is a predicted model, not a curated record.